RNAcentral lists this ribosomal RNA (357 nucleotides) under uncultured bacterium. Its description in RNAcentral is "bacterial SSU rRNA". It matches the Rfam family "Bacterial small subunit ribosomal RNA", at positions 32 to 368 of the family's 1533-position model. The record is from RNAcentral.
AAUCAACGCUGGCGGCGUGCCUCAGACAUGCAAGUCGAACGCGAAAGUUCCCUUCGGGGAGCGAGUAGAGUGGCGUACGGGUGAGUAACACGUAGGUAAUCUACCUUUGGGUGGGGAAUAACAGCCGGAAACGGCUGCUAAUACCGCAUAAUGCAGCGGCUCGACAUCGAGACAGUUGUUAAAGCGGGGGAUCGCAAGACCUCGCGCCUAAAGAGGAGCCUGCGGCGGAUUAGCUAGUUGGUGAGGUAAUGGCUCACCAAGGCAUCGAUCCGUAGCCGGCCUGAGAGGGCGGUCGGCCACACUGACACUGACAUACGGGUCAGACUCCUACGGGAGGCAGCAGUCGGGAAUUUUGGG